CAACAAUGGUGGUGGCUGUGUUCCAGAGUGAAGUUGGUGUCACGGCAACCUGGAAUGCAGACCAGAAGGGCAGUGCCAGCAAGAGAUCACCCCGGGGUAAAAGAGUGAGCAAGGGCUGUGGUGGGUAAGAGCAGCCCAUGGGGAUGGACAGCGGCUACUCCUCCCCCACCUCACAGCCACACACAGGGACAGGGACACAGCAGGACAGUGAGACACUCCUGUUCUCACCUGCAUUCAUAUCCUGACAAGAGGGCCAAGCACUGCAGGACAGAGCCCUGGCCCCAAUGCAGGUGCUGGCACUGUACCUACUGAUUGCAGCGGCACUUUCAACACACAGUUGUGGAAAAGUGGAGGCAGAUCAGCAACCUGAUGGGCAUCUGCACAAAGAUGGAACCAGAGCAGAACACAUGCAUAUCCUCAGCCCUCUGUCAGGUCUCCAUGCUGCCAUACAGAACAGAUAAGUCAGACACAAAUGCUAUUCUUUCUACAUCCUCCAAAACCCUGGAAGGUCCCCAAGAUCCUCCUGCCCUCAGGGGGGCAAAUAUUUUAUACAACUUUGCUGAGCCCUGGCCCCACUGCAGGUGCUGGCAACGGAUCUACUGAUUGCAGUGGCCCUUUCGACACACAGCCAUGGAAAUUGCUGACAGAUCAGCAACCCGAUGGACAUUUGCACAAAGACAGAACCAGAGCAGGACAUACACCUAUCCUCAGCCCUCUAACUGGUUUCCGUGCCACCAUGCAGAUAAGUCUGAAACAAACGCUAUCCUUCCUCAAUUCUAAAUUACCUUGGAAGCUCCCCAGGAUCCCCAUGCCCUCACCUCAACAUUUUAUACCACUUUGCUGAGUCCUGGCCCUGUUGCAGGUGCUUGCAACGGACCUACUGAUUGCAAUGCCAACUGAUAAAUGAGGCCAUGGAAAUGGCUCAUAGAUCAGUAACCCGGUGAGCAGGGCUACAUAGGGGAGGACAGCACAG
This is a long non-coding RNA of Gallus gallus (chicken), 973 nucleotides long. The record is from Ensembl. Lineage: Eukaryota; Metazoa; Chordata; Aves; Galliformes; Phasianidae.